AGGGUUGGUGCUAGUUGGUUGUCGUCAGCUCGUGUCGUGAGAUUGGUUAGGGUUAACGUCCCGCAACGAGCGCCAACCCCUUACGUUUAGUUGCUAACGCGUGAAGGCGAGCACUCUAGACGAACUGCCGUUGAACAAAACGGAGGAAGGUGGGAUGACGUCAAAUCAUCAUGCCCCUUAUGUUCUGGGCUACACACGUGCUACAAUGGCCGGUACAGACGGACGCAAAGCCGCGAGGCGGAGCAAAUCCGAAAAAGCCGGUCUCAGUUCGGAUUGCAGGCUGCAAUUCGCCUGCAUGAAGUCGGAAUCGCUAGUAAUCGCAGGUCAGCAUACUGCGGUGAAUACGUUCCCGGGCCUU
This 358-nucleotide ribosomal RNA is filed under the name uncultured Pelotomaculum sp. RNAcentral's name for it is "bacterial SSU rRNA". It matches the Rfam family "Bacterial small subunit ribosomal RNA", at positions 1031 to 1382 of the family's 1533-position model. Lineage: Bacteria; Bacillati; Bacillota; Clostridia; Eubacteriales; Desulfotomaculaceae. The record is from RNAcentral.